AUUGAACGCUGGCGGCAUGCCUUACACAUGCAAGUCGAACGGCAGCAUAGGAGCUUGCUCCUGAUGGCGAGUGGCGAACGGGUGAGUAAUAUAUCGGAACGUGCCCUAGAGUGGGGGAUAACUAGUCGAAAGAUUAGCUAAUACCGCAUACGAUCUAAGGGUGAAAGUGGGGGAUCGCAAGACCUCAUGCUCGUGGAGCGGCCGAUAUCUGAUUAGCUAGUUGGUGGGGUAAAAGCUCACCAAGGCGACGAUCAGUAGCUGGUCUGAGAGGACGACCAGCCACACUGGGACUGAGACACGGCCCAGACUCCUACGGGAGGCAGCAGUGGGGAAUUUUGGACAAUGGGGGCAACCCUGAUCCAGCAAUGCCGCGUGAGUGAAGAAGGCCUUCGGGUUGUAAAGCUCUUUUGUCAGGGAAGAAACGGUGAGAGCUAAUAUCUCUUGCUAAUGACGGUACCUGAAGAAUAAGCACCGGCUAACUACGUGCCAGCCGCCGCGGUAA
RNAcentral lists this ribosomal RNA (502 nucleotides) under uncultured bacterium. RNAcentral describes it as "partial 16S ribosomal RNA". It matches the Rfam family "Bacterial small subunit ribosomal RNA", at positions 30 to 523 of the family's 1533-position model. The record is from RNAcentral.